RNAcentral lists this transfer RNA (79 nucleotides) under Candidatus Omnitrophota bacterium. RNAcentral describes it as "Candidatus Omnitrophica bacterium tRNA-Asp". It matches the Rfam family "tRNA". From Rfam's summary of the family: Transfer RNA (tRNA) molecules are approximately 80 nucleotides in length. Their secondary structure includes four short double-helical elements and three loops (D, anti-codon, and T loops). The record is from RNAcentral. Lineage: Bacteria; Pseudomonadati; Candidatus Omnitrophota.
GGGGACGUCGCUUAGCCUGGUUUAAGGCCCUUGAUUGUCGAUCAAGUGAUCGUGGGUUCGAAUCCCAUCGUCCCCGCCA